Phyllostomus discolor (pale spear-nosed bat) is the source of this 1155-nucleotide long non-coding RNA. RefSeq lists it as uncharacterized. NCBI's taxonomy places the organism in Eukaryota, Metazoa, Chordata, Mammalia, Chiroptera, Phyllostomidae. The transcript is spliced from 2 exons. The record is from RefSeq and is a predicted model, not a curated record.
GAAGGGACCCUCCGCCUCCAGCCGCGUCCGGAGGCCCCCAGAGGCUCGCACCCGGACCGGACUGGAGGGCGGGCGGGCGGGGCGGGUCUGGCAGCCCCCUGCAAGGCACCGCUGGAGGCCGUCUCGUGUCUCGGUUCGGAAGCCUCAGGCCGGGACGUCUCUGCGAGAACGGAGAGGGAACUCGGCGUCGCUCUGCCGAGCCGGGAGCAGCUGUGCCCCACCUUCAUCUCAGGGCGGGGACCCGGGUCCGCAACGCUCCCCGCCACCCUGGGAGGGGGGGGGGGCGGCUGCGGGCUGUGCUGUCUGAAGGCAGCUGGCCUGCGUUCUUGUCCAAGAAGACAAGGAAAUGUAGAAAAUAGACAAAAGUUCUGUGCAAUGGAGAAAACACAAUGUCCGCCUUGGGGUGGUGGUGGUGGGAAGGGUCUGGCUCGUGUGGAGGCUCAGGAAGGUAGGGGAGGAGGCAGGGAUAAGAGGCAGAGUUUGGGACCGAGGGAAAGCGGAGGGGUUGGGAGAACCUAGAGGAAGUGGAGUAAGGGGCGUAGAAACCCGGGAGGAGGGAGCCUCUGCACCCCCGGUGAACGUAGAUCCCCGAAUCGAGGCAGCCUGCUGGCAGCCUAGGCUGCCCCACCCCACCCCCAUCGGGGGUCUGCGGUGAGGUGGGCACGCCGAGUUAGAGGAAGUGCAGCCUCAGCCCUCCCCAGACAGUGCGGAGGAGGGCAGGAGGGGGCGUAGCACCAGGUGACCCCAGACCACCGCACCCUUUGCAGAAAGUUCGUUGCUGCUCGCUCACACCCGGGCCCCUCUCACAGGCGUCUCCCUCUGGAAGCCCGGCCCGCGGAGCUCGGAGUCCGUCAGCUUGCUGUUUCCACCUGGGGGUGGGGAGAAGCCCCUGAUGUCAGAUUUAUGAGAACCGAAGAGUUAGGAGUACAAUAUUUAGGUUUUAGUCCCAACUCUUUCACUAGCAGUCCAGGCAAGUCAUUCAACUUCUUCAAUACUUAAAAAGGAGGGUCCCUGGCUGGUUUGGGCAUCCUCUUGAUGCUUCUCUCCCUCUAUUUCUCCCUCCCUCCGCCUUUCUCUAAAAAUCAAUACAUAAAGUCUUUAAAAAGAAUAAAAUGAGAAUAAUAUCUGUAAUCACUACUUCUCAUGGUUGAAACU